This 253-nucleotide ribosomal RNA is filed under the name uncultured bacterium. Its description in RNAcentral is "partial 16S ribosomal RNA". It matches the Rfam family "Bacterial small subunit ribosomal RNA", at positions 524 to 776 of the family's 1533-position model. The record is from RNAcentral.
UACAGAGGGGGCAAGCGUUGUUCGGAAUUCCUGGGCGUAAAGGGCGCGUAGGCGGCCCGCUAAGUCGAACGUGAAAUCCCCGGGCUCAACCCGGGAACUGCGUCCGAUACUGGUGGGCUUGAAUCCGGGAGAGGGAUGCGGAAUUCCAGGUGUAGCGGUGAAAUGCGUAGAUAUCUGGAGGAACACCGGUGGCGAAGGCGGCAUCCUGGACCGGUAUUGACGCUGAGGCGCGAAAGCUAGGGGAGCAAACGGG